Molecule: long non-coding RNA, 745 nt
Filed under: Phasianus colchicus (ring-necked pheasant)
Lineage: Eukaryota; Metazoa; Chordata; Aves; Galliformes; Phasianidae
Description: lncRNA (ENSPCLG00000021967.1)
Source: RNAcentral
AUUUUCGUGCAUCUUAUUUUAAAUGAAUGCCUUUAGAAGGGCCCCAUGUGCAACUAAUGGCUCUGAGCAGCCUCACCUGGGCCCCCAGUCACACCUGCCCUCUGAGUCCUAUUUAAGCAGAGCCUAGAGCCCUUGUUGCAUGCCUGCUAGUUGUAGUCUUGUUAUUGUUCUUCUGUAGUUUGUGGUCUCCUUGAAAUCAAACAGCAUCUCUUCUCUGUGAGCCAGAAGGUGAACUGCUGGAGUGAUUGAGGAGCUCCUCCAAAUGUCAUGCUGUGCUAGCUCUGCUGUUCCUGGAAGAGCAUCUCUUCUUCUGUGUAUGGGAGCUGAACUUGUCUCUCAAAUUCCCUGCUCCAAGGGAGGAUGUGGUUUUUUGAGUUCUCCACAAACCAAAGACAAGGGACUGACCUCAGUAUUACCUCUACUAUGCUGUGAGUGGUCCUCAGUGGAUGCGUAUGUUUGAUGAUGAUGAUUUAUUGGAGACUUUUCUACUGCUCUGCUCUAUCUGACUGCAGCCAGUCCAUAUACUUACCACCUGAAGGUAAGACUGAAGCGUACCUACUGAGCUUAUAGCUGUGAGAGGUGGGGAAACUAUAGGAAAAACUUGCAUGUUCCCUGCAAAAAUAAGCCUCCACCUGGGGAACAAAGCAACAAUGUCACACUCCAUAAAACAAAAACAAAUGUAGGUUAGGUCUUCUGCUGUGAGCCUUCUCCUGGGAAAUAAACUGUGAUAAUCCGGGAGCUUGCA